GGGGAUGACGUCAAAUCAUCAUGCCCCUUAUGACCUGGGCUACACACGCGCUACAAUGGUUGGUACAACGAGUUGCGAGUCGGUGACGGCGAGCCUAAUCGUCUUAAAGCCAAUCUCAGUUCGGAUUGUAGGCUGCAACUCGCCCUACAUGAAGUCGGAAUCGCUAGUAAUCGCGGAUCAGCACGCCGCGGUGAAUACGUUCCCGGGCCUU
Molecule: ribosomal RNA, 211 nt
Filed under: uncultured Streptococcus sp.
Lineage: Bacteria; Bacillati; Bacillota; Bacilli; Lactobacillales; Streptococcaceae
Description: partial 16S ribosomal RNA
Rfam family: Bacterial small subunit ribosomal RNA
Source: RNAcentral